Molecule: transfer RNA, 75 nt
Filed under: Enterobacter cloacae
Lineage: Bacteria; Pseudomonadati; Pseudomonadota; Gammaproteobacteria; Enterobacterales; Enterobacteriaceae
Description: tRNA-Ala
Rfam family: tRNA
About the family: Transfer RNA (tRNA) molecules are approximately 80 nucleotides in length.
Source: RNAcentral
GGGCUAUAGCUCAGCUGGGGGGGCGCCUGCCUUGCACGCAGAAGGUCUGCGGUUCGCUCCCUCAUAGCUCCACCA